GGGGCCGACUGGUUUUGACAGCAUAGGGCAGGGUAAGUAAGCAUGUCGUGCGUUGGAUAAUUAGCACGUAAAUCUGAAUAUUCAACUUUUGACUGGCGAAUCUAAUUACGCCAUGGCUGCCUAAUUAAUUUAGCGCAACCAUUAUGGCCGCGGAUGGCUUUGGCCUGUUGACGUCACCGCCGCCUAACUCAACUCUCAAUAGGAUAGCCUCGUGAUGCUGCGCUCGCUUGGCGAAAUUCAAAGCAGAUAGGAAGUUUGUAGGUUUGUCCCGUUCCGGCUCUCUUCCGAAAUCAAAUUCAGGAAUACACAUGUAGAAAGCUUAUUGGGCAUAUGUUUGGACGCGGGUUCGAAUCCCGCCGGUUCCACUC
This 368-nucleotide transfer-messenger RNA is filed under the name Chitinophagaceae. RNAcentral describes it as "Flavipsychrobacter sp017303395 Standard tmRNA". It matches the Rfam family "transfer-messenger RNA". Rfam says of the family: Bacterial tmRNA, also known as 10Sa RNA or SsrA, is named for its dual tRNA and mRNA-like properties. Its role is to liberate the mRNA from a stalled ribosome. Lineage: Bacteria; Pseudomonadati; Bacteroidota; Chitinophagia; Chitinophagales. The record is from RNAcentral. RNAcentral also lists the same sequence under 1 other name.